This 322-nucleotide ribosomal RNA is filed under the name uncultured soil bacterium. RNAcentral's name for it is "bacterial SSU rRNA". It matches the Rfam family "Bacterial small subunit ribosomal RNA", at positions 26 to 351 of the family's 1533-position model. The record is from RNAcentral.
AGAUUGAACGCUGGCGGCAGGCCUAACACAUGCAAGUCGAGCGGUAGAGAGGUGCUUGCACCUCUUGAGAGCGGCGGACGGGUGAGUAAUGCCUAGGAAUCUGCCUAGUGGUGGGGGAUAACGUUCGGAAACGGACGCUAAUACCGCAUACGUCCUACGGGAGAAAGCGGGGGACCUUCGGGCCUCGCGCCAUUAGAUGAGCCUAGGUCGGAUUAGCUAGUUGGUGAGGUAAUGGCUCACCAAGGCGACGAUCCGUAACUGGUCUGAGAGGAUGAUCAGUCACAUGGAACUGAGACACGGUCCAGACUCCGUACGGGAGCAG